GGGGCAGGGCUCUGGCAGCCUGGGGUUCUGCCUCUGGUGGGAGGCUGCCCUUCAGGACGCCCUGCCCUGCUAAAAUUGGUGGCAAAAUAUUCUUUUCAAGCUGGUCCAGUGGGAGCUGGAGAAGUUCUCCAAUGGUGUGAUCCUCAAACACACCUCCCUGAUGGAGCCUUUAUGGACAGCUGCUCUCAGGGAUGGGGUUGAACAUCAAUGGAAUCCAGUGGGAGCUGUUCCCAGGGGGUAAAAAGGAUCCCUGCUCCCAAGCUGGAGUCCUCCCUGGCCUGGAAGAGCUCCUCUUGUGCAGGCAGCUCCUGCCCUGCCUCUGCCUGUCUCUGCUUUCCAUCAGAGAUUCCUCACGUGCCGCAGCUGAACCACCCAGUAGGCUCCCGUGAAUAAAACCUUGAUUUUGCCUAAUCAGAAUUUUCUGACAUUUCUUGGAAGAUUCCCAAAGAGCACUCAAACCCUUGAGGAGCCUGGAUCCUGGAUAUGAUUCCUGUCCAUAAAUAGCCAGGCUGAAGUUCAGUUAAAUAACCAUGGCAUCCAACCGUGUGGCCCCUGCCAGAGCUUGGCACUGGAUUGUCACCCUGAGCCAAGCACAGGGGGUUGUGCUGGGGCAUCUCAGCCUUCCCUUGGUCUCUCUGGCCACCAUUUCUGCCCAGCACCUCUUCUUCAUUGUCUCCUUUGGCUCCACUUCCUCCUCCUGGACACACUCUUGGCCCAGGAGGUGCUAAGGGACACCAGCCCAGAUUUCCUUCAGCACUCCAA
Cyanistes caeruleus (blue tit) is the source of this 762-nucleotide non-coding RNA. The record is from RefSeq and is a predicted model, not a curated record. NCBI's taxonomy places the organism in Eukaryota, Metazoa, Chordata, Aves, Passeriformes, Paridae.